This 497-nucleotide ribosomal RNA is filed under the name uncultured bacterium. RNAcentral describes it as "partial 16S ribosomal RNA". It matches the Rfam family "Bacterial small subunit ribosomal RNA", at positions 28 to 507 of the family's 1533-position model. The record is from RNAcentral.
GAUGAACGCUGGCGGCGUGCCUAAUACAUGCAAGUAGAACGCUGAAGCUUGGUGCUUGCACCGAGCGGAUGAGUUGCGAACGUGUGAGUAACGCGUAGGUAACCUGCCUCUUAGCGGGGGAUAACUAUUGGAAACGAUAGCUAAUACCGCAUAAAAGUCGAUAUCGCAUGAUAUUGAUUUGAAAGGUGCAAAUGCAUCACUAAGAGAUGGACCUGCGUUGUAUUAGCUAGUUGGUGAGGUAACGGCUCACCAAGGCGACGAUACAUAGCCGACCUGAGAGGGUGAUCGGCCACACUGGGACUGAGACACGGCCCAGACUGCUAGGGGAGGCAGCAGUAGGGAAUCUUCGGCAAUGGGGGCAACACUGACCGAGCAACGCCGCGUGAGUGAAGAAGGUUGUCGGAUCGUAAAGGUCGGUUGUAAGAGAAGAACGAGUGUGAGAGUGGAAAGUUCACAGUGUGACGGUAACUUACCAGAAAGGGACGGCUAACUACGUG